Molecule: long non-coding RNA, 302 nt
Filed under: Elaeis guineensis (African oil palm)
Lineage: Eukaryota; Viridiplantae; Streptophyta; Magnoliopsida; Arecales; Arecaceae
Description: long non-coding RNA (EGUI_LNC036686)
Source: RNAcentral
GUAGAACUUGAUAAAGUUCAACAGAUAGAACCGACAUAGUCUAGUAAACCCACAAAGCCAAAUUUGACGAUGUUAAAUCCGAAAUCUAUUGUAGAGGCACCAUUAAGGUGAUUUGAUAGACUAUCGCAUCAAUCGGACAUAUACUAUGAUUUUUUGAUCCGAGAUGGGGAUCCUAUUAAACUUGAUGCCAUGAAGUUCGAAAUAGAGUCCAUGAAGGUCAAUGAUGUAUGGACAUUAGUUGACCCACCUGAAGGGGUUAAACCCAAAGGGUGCAAAUGGAUCUUCAAAAGAAAGAGGGGUGU